RNAcentral lists this ribosomal RNA (605 nucleotides) under uncultured bacterium. RNAcentral's name for it is "bacterial SSU rRNA". It matches the Rfam family "Bacterial small subunit ribosomal RNA", at positions 11 to 595 of the family's 1533-position model. The record is from RNAcentral.
GUUUGAUCAUGGCUCAGGACGAACGCUGGCGGCGUGCCUAAUACAUGCAAGUCGAGCGGAAUGAUGAAGAAGCUUGCUUCUUCUGAUUUUAGCGGCGGACGGGUGAGUAACACGUGGGCAACCUACCUUGUAGAUUGGGAUAACUCCGGGAAACCGGGGCUAAUACCAAAUAAUCCAUUUUGCUUCAUGGCGAAAUGUUGAAAGGCGGCUUCGGCUGUCACUACGAAAUGGGCCCGCGGCGCAUUAGCUAGUUGGUAGGGUAACGGCCUACCAAGGCGACGAUGCGUAGCCGACCUGAGAGGGUGAUCGGCCACACUGGGACUGAGACACGGCCCAGACUCCUACGGGAGGCAGCAGUAGGGAAUCUUCCACAAUGGACGAAAGUCUGAUGGAGCAACGCCGCGUGAGUGAAGAAGGUUUUCGGAUCGUAAAACUCUGUUGUAAGGGAAGAACACGUACGAGAGUAACUGCUCGUACCUUGACGGUACCUUAUUAGAAAGCCACGGCUAACUACGUGCCAGCAGCCGCGGUAAUACGUAGUGGCAAGCGUUGUCCGGAAUUAUUGGGCGUUAAACGCGCGCAGGCGGUCCUUUUAAGUCUGAUGU